RNAcentral lists this ribosomal RNA (892 nucleotides) under uncultured bacterium. Its description in RNAcentral is "bacterial SSU rRNA". It matches the Rfam family "Bacterial small subunit ribosomal RNA", at positions 8 to 916 of the family's 1533-position model. The record is from RNAcentral.
AGAGUUUUGAUCAUGGCUCAGGGACGUACGCUGGUGGCGUGCUUUAACACAUGCAAGUCGAGCGGGGUGAGUUCUUCGGAACGAUCCUAGCGGCGGACGGGUGAGUAACACGUGAGUAACCUGCCCUAUGGAGGGGGAUAACACAAAGAAAUUUGUGCUAAUACCGCAUAAUACUGAUGCUCCGCAUGGAGUGUCAGUCAAAGAUUUAUCGCCAUAGGAUGGACUCGCGGCGCAUUAGCUAGUUGGUGAGGUAACGGCCCACCAAGGCGACGAUGCGUAGCCGACCUGAGAGGGUGAUCGGCCACAUUGGAACUGAGACACGGUCCAGACUCCUACGGGAGGCAGCAGUGGGGAAUAUUGCACAAUGGGCGAAAGCCUGAUGCAGCAACGCCGCGUGAGCGAUGAAGGCCUUCGGGUUGUAAAGCUCUGUCUUCGCUGACGAAGAAUGACGGUAAGCGAGGAGGAAGCCACGGCUAACUACGUGCCAGCAGCCGCGGUAAUACGUAGGUGGCAAGCGUUGUCCGGAAUUACUGGGCGUAAAGAAUGCGUAGGCGGCUUUUUAAGUGGGAUGUGAAAUCCCUGGGCUCAACCCAGGAACUGCAUUCCAAACUGGAGAGCUAGAGUGUGGGAGAGGAAAAUGGUAUUCCCAGUGUAGCGGUGAAAUGCGUAGAGAUUGGGAGGAACACCAGUAGCGAAGGCGAUUUUCUGGAACAUAACUGACGCUGAGGCAUGAAAGCGUGGGGAGCAAACAGGAUUAGAUACCCUGGUAGUCCACGCCGUAAACGAUGAGUACUAGGUGUAGGGGGGUACCACCCCCUGUGCCGCAGUUAACACAUUAAGCACUCCGCCUGGGAAGUACGAUCGCAAGAUUAAAACUCAAAUGAAUUGACGG